This 510-nucleotide ribosomal RNA is filed under the name uncultured bacterium. RNAcentral describes it as "partial 16S ribosomal RNA". It matches the Rfam family "Bacterial small subunit ribosomal RNA", at positions 28 to 507 of the family's 1533-position model. The record is from RNAcentral.
GACGAACGCUGGCGGCGUGCUUAACACAUGCAAGUCGAACGAAGAGCGAUGGAAGCUUGCUUCUAUCAAUCUUAGUGGCGAACGGGUGAGUAACGCGUAAUCAACCUGCCCUUCAGAGGGGGGCAACAGUUGGAAACGACUGCUAAUACCGCAUACGAUCUAAUCUCGGCAUCGAGGAUAGAUGAAAGGUGGCCUCUACAUGUAAGCUAUCACUGAAGGAGGGGAUUGCGUCUGAUUAGCUAGUUGGAGGGGUAACGGCCCACCAAGGCGAUGAUCAGUAGCCGGUCUGAGAGGAUGAACGGCCACAUUGGGACUGAGACACGGCCCAGACUCCUACGGGAGGCAGCAGUGGGGAAUCUUCCGCAAUGGACGAAAGUCUGACGGAGCAACGCCGCGUGAGUGAUGACGGCCGUCGGGUUGUAAAGCUCUGUUAAUCGGGACGAAAGGCCUUCUUGCGAAUAGUGAGAAGGAUUGACGGUACCGGAAUAGAAAGCCACGGCUAACUACGUG